UUGAACGCUGGCGGCAUGCCUUACACAUGCAAGUCGAACGGCAGCACGGGUGCUUGCACCUGGUGGUGAGUGGCGAACGGGUGAGUAAUACAUCGGAACAUGUCCUGUAGUGGGGGAUAGCCCGGCGAAAGCCGGAUUAAUACCGCAUACGAUCUACGGAUGAAAGCGGGGGACCUUCGGGCCUCGCGCUAUAGGGUUGGCCGAUGGCUGAUUAGCUAGUUGGUGGGGUAAAGGCCUACCAAGGCGACGAUCAGUAGCUGGUCUGAGAGGACGACCAGCCACACUGGGACUGAGACACGGCCCAGACUCCUACGGGAGGCAGCAGUGGGGAAUUUUGGACAAUGGGCGAAAGCCUGAUCCAGCAAUGCCGCGUGUGUGAAGAAGGCCUUCGGGUUGUAAAGCACUUUUGUCCGGAAAGAAAUCCUUGGCCCUAAUACGGUCGGGGGAUGACGGUACCGGAAGAAUAAGCACCGGCUAACUACGUG
This 485-nucleotide ribosomal RNA is filed under the name uncultured bacterium. Its description in RNAcentral is "partial 16S ribosomal RNA". It matches the Rfam family "Bacterial small subunit ribosomal RNA", at positions 30 to 507 of the family's 1533-position model. The record is from RNAcentral.